RNAcentral lists this ribosomal RNA (372 nucleotides) under uncultured eukaryote. RNAcentral's name for it is "partial 18S ribosomal RNA". It matches the Rfam family "Eukaryotic small subunit ribosomal RNA", at positions 592 to 976 of the family's 1831-position model. The record is from RNAcentral.
CAAUAGCGUAUAUUAAAGUUGUUGCAGUUAAAAAGCUCGUAGUUGGAUUUCUGGGAGGGUGCCGCCGUCCGGCGUGUCCGUGUGCAGUGGCGCCCUUCCAUCCUUCUGUUAGCGUCUCUUGGCAUUCAUUUGCGGGUGGCGGGCUCAGAUAUUUUACCUUGAGAAAAUUAGAGUGUUUCAGGCAGGCUAGGCCGGAAUACAUUAGCAUGGAAUAAUGGAAUAGGACUACGGUCUCUUUGUUGGUUUGAGGGACUGCAGUAAUGAUUAAUAGGGAUAGUUGGGGGCAUUAGUAUUUAAUUGUCAGAGGUGGAAUUCUCAGAUUUGUUAAAGACUAACUUAUGCGAAAGCAUUUGCCAAGGAUGUUUUCAUUAA